This 91-nucleotide transfer RNA is filed under the name Dilophotes sp. AE LB-2014. RNAcentral describes it as "tRNA-Glu". The record is from RNAcentral. Lineage: Eukaryota; Metazoa; Arthropoda; Insecta; Coleoptera; Lycidae.
GAUUGGGGAAACUACCCCAAUCAAGAAAUAAAAUUUAUAUAGUUUAAAUAAAACUCUACAUUUUCAUUGUAAAAUUAAAUCAUUUUUUAUA